GNGUGNGUAAUUUAAAAAAAAUAUUAAGUUGUGACCUUGAAAAUAGAGACCUCGCACAC
This 59-nucleotide transfer RNA is filed under the name Crotalus aquilus. RNAcentral's name for it is "tRNA-His". Lineage: Eukaryota; Metazoa; Chordata; Lepidosauria; Squamata; Viperidae. The record is from RNAcentral.